This is an RNA transcript of Megalobrama amblycephala (Wuchang bream), 1568 nucleotides long. RefSeq lists it as uncharacterized. The transcript is spliced from 18 exons. The record is from RefSeq and is a predicted model, not a curated record. NCBI's taxonomy places the organism in Eukaryota, Metazoa, Chordata, Actinopteri, Cypriniformes, Xenocyprididae.
CAAUUCUCUAACAAUUGAUAAGUCCUUGGUUUAAACAAAUGAGCCACAACAACAGUGACAGUUGCUCAGCCACUGGCCUUUAUAAAGAGAGAAGUAAGACCAAUGCGACAGAGCUGGAAACGGGGACAAACAUUGAGAAGAAGAAAUGUGGUUUCUGGUGGUAUUGUCAUGUGUUGCGGUGGCAGCUCAGCCCAGGGACAGAGACCGAUGGGAUCAAGUUAACUCAGUGAAUGGAGAGAGAUAUUUUCCAGGGCCAGUAAAUGGAGGUGGAAAAGUGCCUCAGCCAGUGGGCAGAACUCCAGUUAGACCGAGAUGGGAGCAGAAUUUUGGACAUCCAGCUUUUCCAGAUCUGGUGGGCCCAUUGUAUCCAGAUGGACCAGAGCAACAAGCACAAGAUCCAUCUAAUGGAUCUCCAUUUGGACAAGAUCCAGAAUUCCGUGAUCAAAAUUUAGGAGGCAGGGGUUAUGUGUCUGAGUUGACUAUACCAGAGUCUAGUAUGAACCAGGUAACACAGAGGAGCGGACAAUGGCAUAGAUGGGGAGGAACAGGAAAACCACUGAGGAAUGGAAGAGCUGGUAGACCACCUUACAAACCGGACUGGAUGCCAAUGCGCCCAACUCAAGCUCCAGUAGAUGGGGGUACAGGGAAUCAAAUGAAUCCACUCUUUGGAAAACCCCUGAGUCCCAACAUGAUGGACAACAGGCAGUUCAUACCAAUCUUCAAGGCUGAAAAUGUCACUGUGCAGAAUGUUAGUGCUUUCCAUCUAAAGGAGGGAGAGAAUGUCUUCCUCUUACCAAAAGGUAGAGGGCAGAUGCAGCCACCAAAAAAGGGUGGAGUGAAUAGACCUCAGGAACUGGGGUAUGGGCAGGGUUUCUCCCUCUAUGGCCCCCAGCCUUACGUGAAGCUCAUCUACAACCCAACUGCAACGCAGUCUAUUGCAAAUUUGUUCCCCACAGCCAAGAAUCUCAUUUGAAUAUGGCAUUACACAGCUUCUCCCUGCAUUCAUGAAGGCGGAGUCUAACAGUGAUCAUGGGACAAAUUAGGAAAGAACCAUAUACAAUAAUCACACUGGUGGACAUCCAACUAUUAUAUAAUUCAGCAUAGAAUUUAAAUGUAUAAUAUAGAUUAUUAUUAUUAUUAUUGAUGAUUAAUGCCUCUUGGUGGUUGUUCACUCUUAGUUUGCUGGAUUUUCUUCUUUAAUCAUUUGAGAAUCUGUUCAUUAAAACAGUAUGUAUUUGUUCUAUUAUCAAGGUGUUUUGGUUUCCCUGUCUGUGUUCCCUAGUUAGUUUCCCUGGUUGUUAAUUAGUUCCCAAACCUGUUCCUCUUGACAUUGAUUACACUCCUCAUGUAUUUAAGCCCUGUGUUUCUCUAGUUCCAGUAUCAUCUUUAUUUAACAUGUUUGUAUGAAUGUUUCCUGUGAUCUCCUGAGUUAUUCCUGUGUGGAUUAAAUAAAGACUGUUUUUGUUGUCUACUCCUUUCGUUUUAGCGUUCUCAAAUGUGACACACUGCUACUUGAUCAUUUUGUCACUGAAUUGCAUCACUUAUUUUACUCUUGAUUACUAAUACAU